CUCUUCUAAGCAUGCAUUUCUCCAUUUUACUGUGAAUAAGGGAAACGAAGAAUUGCAAGGCGAUAGAGUGAUACAGAUCUGUCCUCUUUCCCUUCCUAGAUGUCCAAACAACCAAUGUUGCUGUACAAUGAGGGUGAGUGCAAUGAGUGUACAGUGAAUUCUGGUCUUCUGCUUUUCUCUGGGCGAUGAGGUGACCUUCCACACUAGAAGAGGUCAUUUGCAUUCAGCUGAGAGAAGGAAAAAGGAGUGCUUUGUGGAAGCACUGAGCCAGUAGUGUUCUCUCAGUUUUCUCUUUCUCUUCCUACUUUCAGGAAGUCCCUAGGAGGAAAUUUCUCAGGAGGUUUUACAGCUUCACUCUUCAGGGAAUUUCAUGAUGAAAACAGGGCAUCUAGAGGACUUCCAGAUUCUGAAGUUUCCUGCAACUGAAGUUCUGAGCAGCUCUGUUUCUCCUCAGAAGAUCUGUCUGUGUGCAUAUGUCAGCCCAGAAAGAUUGUGGCCCCUCUGUCAGCCCAGGUGUUCUGCUUUGAAAAUAGUUGUUCACAAAAGUACAUACUGCCAGAAAGAGAUGACACAGAUAAGGUGUGAUGGUGAAGCGAGGGAUAUUUUUCUCAG
Gallus gallus (chicken) is the source of this 612-nucleotide long non-coding RNA. RefSeq lists it as uncharacterized. The record is from RefSeq and is a predicted model, not a curated record. Lineage: Eukaryota; Metazoa; Chordata; Aves; Galliformes; Phasianidae. The transcript is spliced from 4 exons.